RNAcentral lists this long non-coding RNA (605 nucleotides) under Callithrix jacchus (white-tufted-ear marmoset). RNAcentral describes it as "lncRNA (ENSCJAG00000055897.2)". The record is from RNAcentral. Lineage: Eukaryota; Metazoa; Chordata; Mammalia; Primates; Cebidae.
GAGGCAGCCCACAUCCAGGCUGACACUGGACAACAAACACUGGAACGUCCACCCCUGCUGCCAGAAGCUCCAGUUGUCACUGUCAUCUGCCAAGAAAAAAAACUAUAAAUAAAAGACUCCAUGUGGCUCCUACUUUUCAGUUCCCUCUUCGAUGUGGGGUACCGGAUGGGCAGAGCCUGUCAUGGGCCUGCCGAGGAGCCAGGAUCACCAGGCCUCCGCUUUCCAGUGCCAGGGUUUGAAAGCAGAGCUCCAAACAGACAUGGACGACAAUGAGCUAGAGGACAGCAUGUGCAUAAGACCUUCAGGAUUCAGAGGCUACCCAUCUCUCCAGCUCUCUCUCACUACACUAUCUUGCUUUGGGUUCCCAUCUCUCCAGAUCACUUAAAGAAACCUCUUCCUGUCCCUGCCAACAACCACCUGCAGACACCUGACAUCUCUAUCUUUUGCUCUGUCCAGCUUCUGGGAUGACAUCUGGCCAACCUAGUCAGCCUUCACAUACUAAGCAUCAAUCACCCACACAGGAAGCCUAUCUGGAAAUCCAGGCACACCUAUCCCCUGGCCUGAUUAGGUGGUCUUUCUCCAUGCACGUGUCAUUUCCAGUGAAC